AUACGAAGGGGGCAAGCGUUGUUCGGAAUAACUGGGCGUAAAGCGCACGUAGGCGGAAUGUUAAGUUAGAGGUGAAAUCCCAGGACUCAACCCUGGAACGGCCUUUAAUACUGGCAAUCUAGAGACCGAGAGAGGUGAGUGGAAUUCCGAGUGUAGAGGUGAAAUUCGUAGAUAUUCGGAGGAACACCAGUGGCGAAGGCGGCUCACUGGCUCGGUACUGACGCUGAGGUGCGAAAGCGUGGGGAGCAAACAGGAUUAGAAACCCCAGUAGUCC
This 274-nucleotide ribosomal RNA is filed under the name uncultured bacterium. Its description in RNAcentral is "partial 16S ribosomal RNA". It matches the Rfam family "Bacterial small subunit ribosomal RNA", at positions 523 to 796 of the family's 1533-position model. The record is from RNAcentral.